Molecule: ribosomal RNA, 425 nt
Filed under: uncultured prokaryote
Description: bacterial SSU rRNA
Rfam family: Bacterial small subunit ribosomal RNA
Source: RNAcentral
UGCUGAAUUAUUCGCCAAUGCGCGAAAGCGUGACGGUGCGACGCCGCGUGCGGGAUGAAGGCCUUCGGGUCGUAAACCGCUGUCAGGACUUAGGAAACCGCAGACGUUAAUAGCGGCUGCGCUGACCAGGUCCAAAGGAAGCACAGGCUAAUCUCGUGCCAGCAGCCGCGGUAAUACGAGAUGUGCAAGCGGUGUUCGGAAUUACUGGGCAUAAAGGGUGCGCAGGCGGUCUGGAAAGUCAGGGGUGAAAUCCCACGGCUCAACCGUGGAAUUGCUUUUGAAACUACCAGACUUGAGUGCGAAAGGGGCAAGCGGAAUUCCAGGUGUAGCGGUGGAAUGCGUAGAUAUCUGGGAGAACGCCGAUGGCGAAGGCAGCUUGCUGGGUCGCAACUGACGCUCAUGCACGAAAGCUAGGGGAGCAAACA